Molecule: ribosomal RNA, 645 nt
Filed under: Ablaberoides sp. DA4037
Lineage: Eukaryota; Metazoa; Arthropoda; Insecta; Coleoptera; Scarabaeidae
Description: eukaryotic LSU rRNA
Rfam family: Eukaryotic large subunit ribosomal RNA
Source: RNAcentral
GGACCAAGGAGUCUAGCAUGUGCGCGAGUCAUUGGGAUAUUUACUAAACCUAAAGGCGCAAUGAAAGUGAAGGUCAGCCCUGCGCUGACCGAGGGAAGAUGGAUGGUCCCGAGGGACUGUCCCGCAUUCCCGGGGCGUCUCGUUCUCAUUGCGAGAAGAGGCGCACCCAGAGCGUACACGCUGGGACCCGAAAGAUGGUGAACUAUGCCUGGUCAGGACGAAGUCAGGGGAAACCCUGAUGGAGGUCCGUAGCGAUUCUGACGUGCAAAUCGAUCGUCGGAACUGGGUAUAGGGGCGAAAGACUAAUCGAACCAUCUAGUAGCUGGUUCCCUCCGAAGUUUCCCUCAGGAUAGCUGGCGCUCGCUUCUCGCGAGUCUCAUUCGGUAAAGCGAAUGAUUAGAGGCAUUGGGGUCGAAACGGCCUCAACCUAUUCUCAAACUUUAAAUGGGUGAGAUCUCCGGCUUGCUUGAACUGUGAAGCCGCGAGAUUAAGGAUCAGAGUGCCAAGUGGGCCACUUUUGGUAAGCAGAACUGGCGCUGUGGGAUGAACCAAACGCCGAGUUAAAGCGCCUAAAUCGACGCUUAUGGGAUACCAUGAAAGGCGUUGGUAACUUAAGACAGCAGGACGGUGGCCAUGGAAGUCGGA